Molecule: RNase P RNA, 373 nt
Filed under: Vulcanimicrobiota bacterium
Lineage: Bacteria; Bacillati; Vulcanimicrobiota
Description: RNase P RNA component class A
Rfam family: Bacterial RNase P class A
About the family: Ribonuclease P (RNase P) is a ubiquitous endoribonuclease, found in archaea, bacteria and eukarya as well as chloroplasts and mitochondria. Its best characterised activity is the generation of mature 5'-ends of tRNAs by cleaving the 5'-leader elements of precursor-tRNAs. Cellular RNase Ps are ribonucleoproteins.
Source: RNAcentral
GAAGUACGCUGGGCGAUCGCGCGCUGCAGUUACGGCUGCAGUUGGGUGAGGAAAGUCCGGGCUUCAUCGGGCAAGGUGCAGGAUAACGUCCUGUCGGGGCGACUCGAAGGAAAGUGCCACAGAAACAUACCGCCCCGCAAAGUGCGUGCACUUUGUGGGGUAAGGGUGAAAUCGUGAGGUAAGAGCUCACGGAGCGACGCGGCGACGCGCGGUCGGGUAAACCCCACCUGAAGCAAGACGGCUCGACGACAACGAGGCGGCCCGCCUCAAACGAGCUACGUUGCAUCGAGAUGCGCGGUAACGCGCGUCCCAGAGAGAUGAUCGCCGAAGCGGCAACGCUUUACAGAAUCCGGCUUACAGGCGUACUUCGCAA